Molecule: ribosomal RNA, 403 nt
Filed under: uncultured bacterium
Lineage: Bacteria
Description: bacterial SSU rRNA
Rfam family: Bacterial small subunit ribosomal RNA
Source: RNAcentral
GACGAACGCUGGCGGCGUGCCUAACACAUGCAAGUCGAGCGGAGCCAUCUAGAAGAUCCCUUCGGGGUGAUUCUGGGGAAGCUUAGCGGCGGACGGGUGAGUAACGCGUGAGUAACCUGCCCAUUAGUGGGGAAUAACACAGAGAAAUUUGUGCUAAUACCGCAUACGGAGUAGAAGGGACAUCCCUUCAGCUUAAAAGAUUUAUCGCUAAUGGAUGGACUCGCGUCUGAUUAGAUAGUUGGUAGGGUAACGGCCUACCAAGUCGACGAUCAGUAGCCGAACUGAGAGGUUGAUCGGCCACAUUGGGACUGAGACACGGCCCAGACUCCUACGGGAGGCAGCAGUGGGGGAUAUUGCGCAAUGGGGGGAAACCCUGACGCAGCAACGCCGCGUGCAGGAUGAC